GUGGGGAUGACGUCAAGUCCUCAUGGCCUUUAUGGCCAGGGCUACACACGUACUACAAUGGCCGGUACAAAGGGCAGCGACAUUGCGAGAUGGAGCGAAUCCCGAAAAGCCGGUCUCAGUCCGGAUUGGAGUCUGCAACUCGACUCCAUGAAGUUGGAAUCGCUAGUAAUCGUGGAUCAGCAUGCCACGGUGAAUACGUUCCCGGGCCUU
RNAcentral lists this ribosomal RNA (210 nucleotides) under uncultured Desulfobulbus sp. Its description in RNAcentral is "partial 16S ribosomal RNA". It matches the Rfam family "Bacterial small subunit ribosomal RNA", at positions 1173 to 1382 of the family's 1533-position model. Lineage: Bacteria; Pseudomonadati; Thermodesulfobacteriota; Desulfobulbia; Desulfobulbales; Desulfobulbaceae. The record is from RNAcentral.